AUCAUUAUUGAGAUUAUUCAUACACGUGAACGAAUUAUGCUUGGCGCGAGCGCUGUGCUUGCGCCGAUAUUAACGCAUAUAAUUUGUCUGAUAGAUUAAAGAAAUUUAAAACUUUCAACAACGGAUCUCUUGGUUCUCGCAUCGAUGAAGAACGCAGCGAAGCGCGAUAGGUAUUGUGAAUUGCAGAAUCGUGAAUCAUCGAAUUUUUGAACGCACAUUGCACCCAUUGGUAUUCCGAUGGGUAUACUUGUUUGAGCGUCAUUUCAUUCUCCUUUUGGGUUUUGGCAUGAAUAUUUCUUGCUGAAUUAUAAUGGUGUGGCUACCAGACUACAACGUGAUAGAUAUUUCGUUGGAUGUGACUGGGAUUGCUCACCUUAAAAACAUUGUAUAGACCUCAAAUCAAGCAGGAUUACCCGCUGAACUUAAGCAUAUCAAUAAGCGGAGGA
RNAcentral lists this ribosomal RNA (446 nucleotides) under uncultured fungus. Its description in RNAcentral is "eukaryotic LSU rRNA". The stretch from base 110 to 261 matches the Rfam family "5.8S ribosomal RNA". Lineage: Eukaryota; Fungi. The record is from RNAcentral.